This 382-nucleotide unclassified non-coding RNA is filed under the name uncultured bacterium. RNAcentral's name for it is "contains 16S-23S intergenic spacer region". The record is from RNAcentral.
UCCUAGUUUCCUAGGCAGUUCCAUCAGAGUGCCCCAAAAGGGUAGCAACUGACGGCAGGGGUUGCGCUCGUUAAAGGACUUAACCCAACAUCUCACGACACGAGCUGACGACAGCCAUGCAGCACCUGUUCACUUGUCCAAGCUUUCGCUUGAAAAUCCAUAUUUCUAUGGAGGUCAAGUGUAUGUCAAGCCCAGGUAAGGUUUCUCGCGUAGUAUCGAAUUAAACCACAUGUUCCACCGCUUGUGCGGACCCCCGUCAAUUUCUUUGAGUUUUAAUCUUGCGACCGUACUCCCCAGGCGGACCACUUAACGCGUUAGCUACGACACUGAUUUCGCAGAGCGAAACCAACGUCUAGUGGUCAUCGUUUACAGCGUGGACUAC